UACGUAGGUGACAAGCGUUAUCCGGAAUUACUGGGCGUAAAGCGCACGCAGGCGGCUGCGUAAGUCUGACGUGAAAUCUCUCGGCUUAACCGGGAGCGGUCGUUGGAAACUAUGCGGCUUGAGGCGAUGAGAGGGGUGUGGAAUUCCCGGUGUAGUGGUGGAAUGCGUAGAUAUCGGGAGGAACAUCAGUGGCGAAAGCGGCACCCUGGCAUUAGCCUGACGCUCAGGUGCGAAAGCGUGGGGAGCAAACAGG
Molecule: ribosomal RNA, 253 nt
Filed under: uncultured bacterium
Lineage: Bacteria
Description: partial 16S ribosomal RNA
Rfam family: Bacterial small subunit ribosomal RNA
Source: RNAcentral